AUGAUAUGGAGCUGGAUUGUGUUCUUACUGGAAGUAGCAGUUGCCAUUGUCCACUCCCAGGUCCAGCUGCAGCAGUCUGGGGCUGAGGUGUCGAGGCCUGGGGCAUCAGUGAAGGUGUCUUGCAGGGCUUCUGGCUACACCUUCACUAGCUACUAUGUGGAAUGGGUGAAGCAGAAAAACAGACAGGGACUGGAAUGGAUUGGAAGAAUUUAUCCUGGAAAUGGUAAUACUGACUACGCCCAGAAGUUCAAUGGCAAGGCCACACUGACUACAGACACAUCCUCUAGCACAGCCUUCUUGGAGCUCAGAAGCCUGACAUCUGAGGACACGGCUGUCUAUUACUGUGCAAGACACAGUGGUGUGACCACAUCCUGA
Rattus rattus (black rat) is the source of this 375-nucleotide non-coding RNA. The record is from the annotation of a RefSeq genome assembly. NCBI's taxonomy places the organism in Eukaryota, Metazoa, Chordata, Mammalia, Rodentia, Muridae.